UUAAGCUAGAAAGAGCGCAGGGUGGAUGCCUUGGCACUAAGAGCCGAUGAAAGACGUGAUAAGCUGCGAAAAGCUUCGGGGAGGAGCAAAUAUCCAAUGAUCCGGAGAUAUCUGAAUGGGGAAACCCGGCAGAGGAAACCUCUGUCAGCGUGCAGUGAAUACAUAGCUGUACGUGGGGAACCCGGGGAACUGAAACAUCUAAGUACCCGGAGGAAGAGAAAGAAAAUUUAUCGAUUUCCAAAGUAGCGGCGAGCGAAAUGGAAAGAGCCCAAACCGUGAUGCGUGCAUCGCGGGGUUCGGACUGCGUUGUGGCAGACGUAAGAUAGGAGAACGGACUGGGAAGUCCGGCCGGAGAGAGUGAAAGCCUCGUAUCCGAAAUCCCAAGUCGCCUAGCAGGAUCCAGAGUAGGACGAGACACGAGAAACCUUGUCUGAACGAGCGGGGACCACCCCGUAAGGCUAAAUACUUCUUAGUGACCGAUAGCGCAUAGUACUGUGAAGGAAAGGUGAAAAGUACCCCGGGAGGGGAGUGAAAGAGAACCUGAAACCCUGUGUCUACAAGCUGUGGGACCUCUUUAUAUGAGGGACUGCGUACUUUUUGUAGAACGGUCCGGCGAGUUGUGCGUACUGGCGAGGUUAAGGACUUAAGGUCUGGAGCCGAAGUGAAAGCAAGCGUUAAUAGCGCGUCAAGUCAGUGAGUGCAGACCCGAAACCGGGUGACCUAUCCAUGUCCAGGUUGAAGCUUCCGUAAGAGGAAGUGGAGGACCGAACCCACAUCCGUUGAAAAGGGUGGGGAUGAGGUGUGGAUAGCGGAGAAAUUCCAAUCGAACCCGGAGAUAGCUGGUUCUCCUCGAAAUAGCUUUAGGGCUAGCCUCAUGAGAGUCUUAUGGAGGUAGAGCACUGAAUUGCCUAGGGGGCGUCAAAGCUUACCAAAGCAUAUCAAACUCCGAAUGCCAUCAAGAUGAUUCAUGGGAGUCAGACCAUACGAGAUAAGUUGGAUGGUCAAAAGGGAAAGAGCCCAGACCUACAGCUAAGGUCCCAAAGUACGUGUUAAGUGGAAAAGGAUGUGGGGAUUCUAAGACAACUAGGACGUUGGCUUAGAAGCAGCCAUUCAUUGAAAGAGUGCGUAAUAGCUCACUAGUCGAGAGUCCCUGCGCCGAAAAUGUCCGGGGCUGAAACACGACACCGAAGCUUAGGAAUGUGUAAACAUUGGUAGAGGAGCAUUGUUAGCGGGAUGAAGCCAUACCGUAAGGAGUGGUGGACUGCUAGGAAGAGAGAAUGCCGGAAUGAGUAGCGAGAUGAAGGUGAGAAUCCUUCAGGCCGAAUAUCUAAGGUUUCCAGAGUAAAGCUGAUCUGCUCUGGGUAAGUCGGGACCUAAGGCGAGGUCGAAAGACGUAGUCGAUGGAUAACAGGUUGAAAUUCCUGUACCGCAUAUAAACAGAACUGUGGGGACACAGACAGGGAAUGGAAUCCGGGAAUGGAAAUCCCGGUGCAAGCGAGGUAGGAGUGCUGUUGGCAAAUCCGCAGCACGAUCUGAAGACGUGACGUGUACCGAACAUAAGUAGGGAAGUCCAGGCCCCUGGCUGUCAAGAAAAGCCGCUAUUGUUUUAUAUGUGCCCGUACCGCAAACCGACACAGGUGGAUGAGGAGAGAAUCCUAAGGCCGACGGGAGAAGUAUUGUUAAGGAACUCGGCAAAAUGACUCCGUAACUUCGGGAGAAGGAGUGCCAUGAGAGUGGCCGCAGAGAAAUGGCCCAAGCAACUGUUUAGCAAAAACACAGGUCUAUGCAAAACCGCAAGGUGAAGUAUAUGGGCUGACGCCUGCCCGGUGCUGGAAGGUUAAGGGGAGAGGUUAGCGCAAGCGAAGCUUUGAACUUAAGCCCCAGUAAACGGCGGCCGUAACUAUAACGGUCCUAAGGUAGCGAAAUUCCUUGUCGGGUAAGUUCCGACCC
This 1950-nucleotide ribosomal RNA is filed under the name human gut metagenome. RNAcentral describes it as "bacterial LSU rRNA". It matches the Rfam family "Bacterial large subunit ribosomal RNA", at positions 3 to 1989 of the family's 2925-position model. The record is from RNAcentral.